This 235-nucleotide ribosomal RNA is filed under the name uncultured bacterium. RNAcentral's name for it is "partial 16S ribosomal RNA". It matches the Rfam family "Bacterial small subunit ribosomal RNA", at positions 96 to 334 of the family's 1533-position model. The record is from RNAcentral.
CGGCGGACGGGUGAGUAACGCGUAGGAAUCUACCUGGUAGUGGGGGACAACAUGGGGAAACCCAUGCUAAUACCGCAUACGCCCUAUGGGGGAAAGCGGGGGACCUUCGGGCCUCGCGCUAUCAGAUGAGCCUGCGUAGGAUUAGCUUGUUGGUGAGGUAAAGGCUCACCAAGGCGACGAUCCGUAGCUGGUCUGAGAGGACGAUCAGCCACACUGGGACUGAGACACGGCCCAG